Gymnodraco acuticeps is the source of this 2072-nucleotide long non-coding RNA. RefSeq lists it as uncharacterized. Lineage: Eukaryota; Metazoa; Chordata; Actinopteri; Perciformes; Bathydraconidae. The transcript has 4 exons. The record is from RefSeq and is a predicted model, not a curated record.
UGGCACAGAGAAAACAGCCUCAGAGGAAGUAAAGUUAGGAGCAACCAACAAGCGUGAAUAAGAAGAGACGAGCAAGAAACCAGAGGAGCAAGAAGAGAUUAAGAGGACAGGAGAUUUAAUGUUAUGUGUCCUCUCACUUUUGCUCGACUCCACAUGCAGAGUAUCAUCCGUACCUGAGGAAUUAUCCCUCUAGCCUUAAUCUCUACCUGCUUAUCUCCGGCUGCUCUGGGUUUCAACAACAAACUAACACGCUGACAAAUUCAACACUCAGCAGUCAGUCUGGGCUGGGCUGAGCGUGUGAAAACAACUCUCUCGGGAUGGAUGCCAGAGAGGAGACGCUGAGCAUCCUGAAUAAAAUAUGGGUAAAGCUGCAAGGUCUGCCCAACGCCACCCCGAUAGAGCUGGGAGCUUUCUUUGUCAUCUUAACCUUCAUCUUGGUUUUCAUCUUAAUGGCAGCGCUGACCUGCGUGACCUGCUGCUGCUGUCGCAAAACCAAGACCAGGGGAUCUAUUCUUUGAGCAAUUGUGCUCCACACAAAGAACUGAGGAUGGUGCAAAAUGGGCUCAAAACACAACAACAGGUUUUCUCUACGGCCUGCGAAAGCCUUAAGAAUCCCUAAGAAUUAAAUAUAACUCUGACUGAGAGUCAUGUUCAUAUAAUUAAUAGGCAUUCAAAACAUUUCAGAGAGCAAUAUACAGGGUGUGUUUAGUGGCCUUAGAGAAGCCCAACCCUACAACACAGCUGUGAAACACAGAGGAGGACCAAACACACCUGCUAAGGCUGCCAGCAUUUCAGGAGAAUCUACAUUCCUGGGAGCAUCCCUGGGCUUUAAAGGGGAACAACAAUGCUUCUGAAGCCAAGAACACCAAAAUAUCUUAAACAAUGCAGGCAAAUACGAGAAUAAGAGCUACAGAAAAUGUGUGAAACGAUUAAAAAUCACAGUGAGUUGCAGCCAAAUGUGUUUCUCUAAAGGUAAAUAUGUGUCAUUGUUAAGAAAUGAGAAUUGGCAGGCAGAAAUAAGUAACAUGUUCCUAAGGGAGGCUUCACAACAAAGCGAGAUCAAGUCUGCCCUCUGCUGUGCACAAACAGAAAUGUCUAUUUUGAAAAGCACAGCAUGCAUGUAAUGGAAGUUGUGUCAUGUUAUGUUAUGUGCAAAGGGUGAAGCCGUUAUGUAAUGAUGUUGUACUUUUUACUACAUUUUCUUUAGCAAUAAACGAAGAGUGACUAGCAUGCACGUGUCUGAAUGCUUUACUCACGCUUCCUGAACACAGUACGCCACCAUGGCAUCAAAGUCUGUGAUGGUUGCUUUGUCAGUCUCCUUCAGAGAGCCACGUUUCCCCUGUAGAAAAAAGUUUAACCAAUGUUCACAAACUUGAUUUGCAUAGGAGCUCUUCACAUUUUGAGUUCUCUCUUGUUGUUCUCACCUGUUUGCGGGAAAUCUCUUUGCGGAUGAGGAAGUUCAGUUGCUCCUUAUCUUUGGCGGAGUAGUAUAUGCGACAGGAGGAGGGCAGGCCGUCUCUCCCGGCUCUUCCUGACUCUUGGUAGUAGCUGGCCAGGGACUUUGCCAAGUUCCAGUGAGCCACAAACCUGCAGGAUAAACAAAACAUCAGCACAUGCAAAUGUAAACAAAAUUGAACAUCAAAUCCUUGUUGCUAACAGGAGGACACUGGGAUUCAUAAUGGAAUGAUUAUAAAGGCUGCAUAAAAAAAGGAACUGGACUGUGUGACAUCCCAAAAUAAUAUGAUAUGGCUUCUUUAAAAUUAGGAAUUUUUGAAAUAUUCUGGUAUAUGGACAUUUUUCCUAAGUAUAUUGGACUGUAUUAUUGUAAUAUGUAGGAUGACCUUAUAUAUAACCCAUCUUUUAUUUAAUGUUUGUUAUAUCUGUGUUAUUUACGUUCUCAGAUUUGAUUUCUUUACGUUUUGUUUUUCAUAUUCUCAUGUUGAAUUUCUUGGAUUUGAGACCUUCUACAUGUUUUGACCCCUUGUUAAAUAAACUGUUCAUCUAAAUUGAAGUACUAAUGGAUGCAAAGGGGAAUGUGAGAAAAUAACUAAUAAAGAAUACGUUAAAAAAAA